GAUAUGGCUCAGGACGAACGCUGGCGGCGCGCCUAACACAUGCAAGUCGAACGAGCGAGAGAGAGCUUGCUUUCUCGAGCGAGUGGCGAACGGGUGAGUAACGCGUGAGGAACCUGCCUCAAAGAGGGGGACAACAGUUGGAAACGACUGCUAAUACCGCAUAAGCCCACGGUGCCGCAUGGCACAGAGGGAAAAGGAGCAAUCCGCUUUGAGAUGGCCUCGCGUCCGAUUAG
RNAcentral lists this ribosomal RNA (233 nucleotides) under uncultured bacterium. Its description in RNAcentral is "partial 16S ribosomal RNA". It matches the Rfam family "Bacterial small subunit ribosomal RNA", at positions 15 to 244 of the family's 1533-position model. The record is from RNAcentral.